AUGGUACCCUGCUACUUCAAGCACCAAUUCUUCCCUUUCUUGCAGUCAACUCAACGCAGCGAGGGGUUCAAUGUUGUCCUUAAGCGAUAUGUGAACCCACACAAGUCCAUUUUGAACUUUGUGAAGCAAUAUCAGAAAAUCCAAACACACAUACUAGUCCGGGAGGGUUCAAAAGACUACAGGACAGCACAUUUACAGACUGAAAUGUGGUCGUCUUACCCAAUAGAGAAGCAGGCGUACAGAUCGUAUACUAGGGACUUGUACGAGAAGUUUCGUGAUGAGUUUCAGUUGACUACAAGGUACAAUGUGCGACCACAUGGUGAAAACUUGUAUGAGGUUUACCCCAAUCAAGAGUGGGUUGCCAAAUAUGGUUCUAGGGGCUAUUUUGUCACGGUCGAAGCUAGUGCUGGAGACUAUAGGUGUGACUGCUGCAAGAUUGAGAGGGACGGCAUGCUUUGCUGCCAUAUCUUGAAAGUUUUCAACCAACUUGGUGUUGAUGAAAUCCCAACGCAGUACAUACUUAGAAGAUGGACCCCUAUGGCAAUCCCCAACGCACCCCCUGCUGUCGAAGACCAACCUGAUGAGAUGCCACCACAGUCGAAGAAGGAACUCAGGCAUGCAAAUUUGAUGAUGGAUUUUGGUAGUCUUGCAAGGGUUGCCAGUGCAUCAGAUGCUGCAACGGAUAUUGUAAAAAAAACAUAUGCAUGGUGCGCGUCAUGA
Molecule: ribosomal RNA, 720 nt
Filed under: Triticum aestivum (bread wheat)
Lineage: Eukaryota; Viridiplantae; Streptophyta; Magnoliopsida; Poales; Poaceae
Description: partial small subunit ribosomal RNA
Source: RNAcentral